UUACCCCUACGGGAGGCAGCAGUGAGGAAUAUUGGUCAAUGGGAGAGAUCCUGAACCAGCCACGCCGCGUGAGGGAAGACGGCCCUAUGGGUUGUAACCCUCUUUUGUCGGAGAACAAAACCCGGGACGUGUCCCGGACUGCGUGUAUCCGAAGAAAAAGCAUCGGCUAACUCCGUGCCAGCAGCCGCGGUAAUACGGAGGAUGCGAGCGUUAUCCGGAUUUAUUGGGUUUAA
This 233-nucleotide ribosomal RNA is filed under the name uncultured bacterium. RNAcentral's name for it is "partial 16S ribosomal RNA". It matches the Rfam family "Bacterial small subunit ribosomal RNA", at positions 333 to 563 of the family's 1533-position model. The record is from RNAcentral.